This 295-nucleotide unclassified non-coding RNA is filed under the name Hevea brasiliensis (rubber tree). The record is from RNAcentral. Lineage: Eukaryota; Viridiplantae; Streptophyta; Magnoliopsida; Malpighiales; Euphorbiaceae.
GAAGUCGCCAAUGUUUCUCUCAUUUCAGAACCUUACUUGUGUUGGUGAAUUGCAAUUUUGGUUCAAGGGUGCACUUGGGUGGCUUUUUAAAGGGAAGCUAAGGAAAAUGAUGUGAUGUCAGAACUGACUAAUAUACUGGCCUUUUGAACUCUUUGGGUGUUUUGGGGAAAGGAAACUAUAGUUUUUAUGGUAUUAUUUAAAUAUCAUUUCAAGGGUAACUGAAUGGGGAAGCUAAGGAAAAGGAUGUGACGUCAGAACUGGCCGAUACUCUGGUCUUUUAAUACUAUUUGGGUGU